RNAcentral lists this ribosomal RNA (497 nucleotides) under uncultured bacterium. RNAcentral describes it as "partial 16S ribosomal RNA". It matches the Rfam family "Bacterial small subunit ribosomal RNA", at positions 28 to 507 of the family's 1533-position model. The record is from RNAcentral.
GAUGAACGCUGGCGGCGUACCUAAUACAUGCAAGUCGAGCGAACAGACGAGGAGCUUGCUCCUCUGACGUUAGCGGCGGACGGGUGAGUAACACGUGGAUAACCUACCUAUAAGACUGGGAUAACUUCGGGAAACCGGAGCUAAUACCGGAUAAUAUAUUGAACCGCAUGGUUCAAUAGUGAAAGACGGUUUUGCUGUCACUUAUAGCUGGAUCCGCGCCGCAUUAGCUAGUUGGUAAGGUAACGGCUUACCAAGGCGACGAUGCGUAGCCGACCUGAGAGGGUGAUCGGCGACACUGGAACUGAGACACGGUCAAGACGCCUAAGGGAGGCAGCAGUAGGGAAUCGGCCGCAAUAGGCGAAAGCAUGACGGAGCAACGCCGAGUGAGUGAUGAAGGUCUUCGGAUCGUAAAACUCGGUUAUUAGGGAAGAACAAAUGUGAAAGGAAAUAUGCACGUCUUGACGGUACCUAAUCAGAAAGCCACGGCUAACUACGUG